This 316-nucleotide ribosomal RNA is filed under the name Glomus sp. (unid). Lineage: Eukaryota; Fungi; Glomeromycota; Glomeromycetes; Glomerales; Glomeraceae. The record is from RNAcentral.
CAGUCGUACCUGCGGACAAUCAGCUUUUUGAGUGUGAUUAUGUGGAUUGUGAGGAGUUUAAUCACCCUCAUGUUUUACGUAUUCGUGCUCUUGGGUGUACUUGCCCGUGUGUAAGUUAACAUCAAUUUUGGUGGUCAUAAAAUGACUGGAGGAAUGUAGCUUCGAUCUUGUAUUGAAGUGUUAUAGCCUUCGGUAGAUGUGAUGAUCGGGAUUGAGGAUUGCAACGGAUACCCGUUCGGGGUUACCUGUCUGGUCUCUGAUCGUUGCUCUGGUGCCGAAAGCUUGCUUACGGUUAUCAAAGUCGAUGGUCAAUAGG